CUAACAAGGAUUCCCCCAGUAACGGCGAGUGAAGCGGGAAGAGCUCAAAUUUGAAAUCUCCGAUGCCUGCAUCGGCGAGUUGUAGUUGCGAGAAGCACUUUCUAGGCGGAAGGGCCCUGCCUAAGUUGCUUGGAACAGCACGUCGCAGAGGGUGACAACCCCGUCUGUGGCAAGGCCAGCCGCCCACGAUGUGCUUUCGAAGAGUCGGGUUGUUUGGGAAUGCAGCCCAAAAUGGGUGGUAAACUCCAUCUAAAGCUAAAUACUGGCGUGAGACCGAUAGCGAAGGAAACGAAUGGACUCAGCAAUGCUCCCUUUGAGAUUCAGCCGGCGACCUGUGGCGGCGCGGGGUUUGCGGAUCCGAACGGACCGCGGUCUCGUGCCCGACUCGGGUUCGCCGUCGCACUUCUCUUGGGCGCGCGUCAGCGUGGGUCGGAACUGGGUGUCGGAGGUGCCGCGGAAGGUAGGUCUGGGGUCUCGGCUCUGGACUGUUACAGCCCGGCUCCCGCGACUCGGGUCCGAUCGAGGACGUCGCAGCGCGUGCCUCUUGUGGCUAGGGUCCCGUCCUUCCGGCCGGUCGUCGACAGCGGUGGACUGCUUGCAGUGCUCUGCGACUGCUGCCGGUCGUUGGGGCGGUGUUCU
RNAcentral lists this ribosomal RNA (639 nucleotides) under Stylophora pistillata. RNAcentral's name for it is "eukaryotic LSU rRNA". The stretch from base 1 to 281 matches the Rfam family "Eukaryotic large subunit ribosomal RNA", at positions 24 to 358 of the family's 3401-position model. The record is from RNAcentral. Lineage: Eukaryota; Metazoa; Cnidaria; Anthozoa; Scleractinia; Pocilloporidae.